RNAcentral lists this ribosomal RNA (253 nucleotides) under uncultured bacterium. Its description in RNAcentral is "partial 16S ribosomal RNA". It matches the Rfam family "Bacterial small subunit ribosomal RNA", at positions 524 to 776 of the family's 1533-position model. The record is from RNAcentral.
UACGUAGGUGGCAAGCGUUGUCCGGAUUUACUGGGCGUAAAGAGCGCGCAGGCGGUCGUUCAAGUCGCGUGUGAAAGCCCCCGGCUCAACUGGGGAGGGUCACGCGAUACUGAUCGACUCGAAGGCAGGAGAGGGAAGUGGAAUUCCCGGUGUAGUGGUGAAAUGCGUAGAGAUUGGGAAGAACACCGGUGGCGAAAGCGCUCUACUGGGCCUGCACUGACACUGAGGGACGAAAGCUAGGGGAGCGAAAGGG